AAAGGAGGGUUUCUGUAAAAAGCAGCGGAAGAGCCUGCCGAAACACUCAGCCUUAACUUCAGUAUCAGGGAACAUGAGGUAACUGGAGCUGCAAUUUUGAAAUUCAAGAUAGCGGAUUUUUUAACGUUGGUCAUUAAUCUUGGCCUAGCAGUGCUCUUGCAAAAAUUGAUUCGGGAAUCUAGAUUGAAAAUAGAGAUAUGAAAAUGUUAUCCGCAAGGAUCAUCUCUUAUUUCCUUAGCUGAAAAAUUGUGCAUGGAGCACACUAAACGAUGCAGCUUUUGUGAGGAUUCUAUGGGUGAACUUAUUGAACACCGGAAAACUUCAAACACUGGAUGAACUUUACACUCCCAUCUUCACAUAAAAAGGAUCUCAUAAUGAAAUAUCUAGAGGAUAUACGACCAAAUAGAAGGGGAUGGAUUUUUAAAGAAAACCCCUUCGCUCAAUGAAAUUUACGAACAAUAUUUAAAACUCUUUAAUUGCG
This is a long non-coding RNA of Belonocnema kinseyi, 481 nucleotides long. RefSeq lists it as uncharacterized. NCBI's taxonomy places the organism in Eukaryota, Metazoa, Arthropoda, Insecta, Hymenoptera, Cynipidae. The transcript has 3 exons. The record is from RefSeq and is a predicted model, not a curated record.